GGUUCUAUAAUGUAGCAGUUAGCACAUCUACUUUAUACGCAGAAGGUCCUGGGUACACAUCCCAGUGGAGCUA
Molecule: transfer RNA, 73 nt
Filed under: Pteropus alecto (black flying fox)
Lineage: Eukaryota; Metazoa; Chordata; Mammalia; Chiroptera; Pteropodidae
Rfam family: tRNA
About the family: Transfer RNA (tRNA) molecules are approximately 80 nucleotides in length. Their secondary structure includes four short double-helical elements and three loops (D, anti-codon, and T loops). Further hydrogen bonds mediate the characteristic L-shaped molecular structure. tRNAs have two regions of fundamental functional importance: the anti-codon, which is responsible for specific mRNA codon recognition, and the 3' end, to which the tRNAs corresponding amino acid is attached (by aminoacyl-tRNA synthetases). tRNAs cope with the degeneracy of the genetic code in two manners: having more than one tRNA (with a specific anti-codon) for a particular amino acid; and 'wobble' base-pairing, i.e. permitting non-standard base-pairing at the 3rd anti-codon position.
Source: Rfam by way of RNAcentral